This 452-nucleotide ribosomal RNA is filed under the name Ophryotrocha sp. n. 13 JP-2021. RNAcentral's name for it is "partial large subunit ribosomal RNA". It matches the Rfam family "Bacterial large subunit ribosomal RNA", at positions 1832 to 2605 of the family's 2925-position model. Lineage: Eukaryota; Metazoa; Annelida; Polychaeta; Eunicida; Dorvilleidae. The record is from RNAcentral.
GAAAUUCCCCCAAAAAAUAUUAGAUAACCCCUGCCCAGUGAACUUUAAACGGCCGCUUUGUGCUAAGGUAGCAUAAUAAUUUGCCUUUUAAUUGGAGGCUUGCAUGAAUGGAAUUUUAAACUAAAGCUUUAUUUUAUUUAGCCCUAAAAAUUAAGAAUUAUGUGAAAACUCAUAAUUUUCAAUAAAAGACCAAAAGACCCUGGGAACUUUAAUUUUAUUAACUUCUACAAAAGUUAAAAAAUUUACACCGGGAGAGUGGGGGAAAACCUUCCCGACCAUUACUUUAUAAACCUUAAUAAUAUAUACUUAAGCUACCCCAGGGAUAACAGGCUACUCUUUUUUCAAAGUCCAAAUUUACAAAAAGAUCUAGCACCUCGAUGUUGGCUUAAGAGUAUGUAAAAUGUAGCAGUUUUACUUAAUGGCUUGUUCCGCCAAUAAUUUCUUACGUGAUC